This is a long non-coding RNA of Heterocephalus glaber (naked mole-rat), 1612 nucleotides long. The record is from Ensembl. NCBI's taxonomy places the organism in Eukaryota, Metazoa, Chordata, Mammalia, Rodentia, Bathyergidae.
UAUUCUCAGAGUUGGUUCUAAGACCCUGGGGUAAGAGAGCUUUAAUAUUUUGAUACACGAGCAAUGUGGAAAGUGGCCUACCAGGGCAGAAUCUGGAACCCGCGGCCAGCACCCAACACAGCCAGUGGUUUCCUGAGUGGGACAAGCCGGGAGUCACUUCCCGGGGACCGGUUGGCCUCGCCAAGGCUGCCAGGAUGCUGUGGUCUCCAUGACAACAGACUGUACGAAGGAGGAGAUGCAGCAAAGAGGUGGUGUCAUCCUGCCAAACCAACCCCCCGCCCACGCACAGCCAGCCGAGCCGCAGGAAGUGGAAUUCUUCUGGGAAAGCGGCUGACGUCGCCGGUGGCCAGGCCGCUGCCCCUGCCCAGGCAGCGCUGAUGCAAGGGCCGCGCGCGCCAGGAGGCGGCUGUCCCCGGGGAGGGCCCAGCGCUCCGUCCCGCUCCUUUCCGGCCACCCCGCCCGAUUUUCCCUGCGAGGAGUCAGCAGCUUCUGGGUGGUUCCCCCUCGAAAGGCUCAGUGUGUGCGCGCGUGUGUGCGUAUGUGUGUGUGUGGGGGGGUCCUUUGCCCAAACCAAAUCCUCUGGUCUGCUCUUCCCAGCCUGGGAUUAGAAUCUGAGCCUCCCAAUUUGGCCAGGUUUGGGCGGACGUGCAGGGCUUCCGCUGCUCCCUGCCGCUCCCUGGGGACUGCCCGGGUGGCCAGGAUACCUAGUGUCAGCGGGUGCCAAGGAAACCGCCCGGAUCACGAGGGAACCUUGUGUCUGGAUGAGGAGGUGGUGAACAGCCUCUGGGGUGGAAGUGGUCCGGCCUGGGCAGGUCUCUAUCGCCCUCUGCUGGGAAAAUAAGAAAAUUGCUUUAAAUUCCCGCCAGCCUCUCCCAGAGAUUUGGGGAGGGAUGGCAAGUGGAGUGAGGCCGGGGCGGAAAUGUUAGGGAUAACUGUCCUCAUAAAACAGAUAGGGAAACUGAGGCUCGGAGAGGACAAAGAAUUUGUCCGUACUCCCACAGCUACUCUCGGGCGAGAAUUUGCAUUGACGACCCUCAUCGGGCAGCAGUUUUGGAAGUGAGCAGCCCAGUAGUUGACUGCUUCCCCCUGAGGGGUCCCUUUACCCGCUGCCUCCUCCGUCAGGCGUCGAUCACUGCAUCCCUUCGGCGGUGCCAAGUGUGAUUGGGGACCUUGUUUCAGCGGCUCUGAGAAGUCGAAACUAUUUUCAAACAAUAUUAGGCUAUUUGGUUUUUUCAUUCUUUCUCCUCCAAGCAUGUACAGGAGAAUUUUUUAAAGACCACAUGUCAUAUGUUGCUGCAAUAGGCUGAAUGCAGAGGGUCUUACAAAGUUUCUCAGACUGGCCUAGAACUUAUAGAUCCUCCUACCUCAGCCUUCUGAGCAGCUUCGAUUAAAGGAACCACAGCUUUAGACUUUGAUCUGACCUGGAGAUGGACUUACUUGGGACCUUUCAGGUGAAAUUACAUUAGGUGGCUGUUCAGUGUCAGCCAUUAGAGACCACGUACACAAUUAGGACCAGCUUCUCUCUGCUUGGGGCUAAGACUGCUAGAAGAAAUUGAGGGUCAGCCAAUUUGCACAUUGGGAGAGGUAAGAAAAUGACAAUGGAGUUUAAGAG